RNAcentral lists this ribosomal RNA (254 nucleotides) under uncultured bacterium. RNAcentral describes it as "partial 16S ribosomal RNA". It matches the Rfam family "Bacterial small subunit ribosomal RNA", at positions 524 to 776 of the family's 1533-position model. The record is from RNAcentral.
UACGUAGGGUGCAAGCGUUGUCCGGAAUUAUUGGGCGUAAAGAGCUCGUAGGCGGUUUGUCGCGUCUGCUGUGAAAACUGGAGGCUCAACCUCCAGCCUGCAGUGGGUACGGGCAAACUAGAGUGCGGUAGGGGUGACUGGAAUUCCUGGUGUAGCGGUGGAAUGCGCAGAUAUCAGGAGGAACACCGAUGGCGAAGGCAGGUCACUGGGCCGCAACUGACGCUGGAGGAGCGAAAGCAUGGGGAGCGAACAGG